This 2922-nucleotide unclassified non-coding RNA is filed under the name Hevea brasiliensis (rubber tree). The record is from RNAcentral. Lineage: Eukaryota; Viridiplantae; Streptophyta; Magnoliopsida; Malpighiales; Euphorbiaceae.
GCCUUGUAUAAGUGGUCCUCUCUUUCCAUUCUAUUCAUGUGCAUAGUAGCUGUUAUAAACUCAAUGUAAUCAAUUGUUCCAUUUCCAUCCACAUCGGCAGCUUCCAUUAAUUGUUUAACUUCAGUUUCAGAGAGCCUUGACCCAAGUCGAGCUAAACCUGUCUUCAGCUCUUCAUAGGUGAUUGUGCCACUCUUGUCAGUGUCCAUGUUUGUGAACAUUGCUUUAAGACCUUUAAUUUCUUCUUCAGAGAGAUUUUCAGCAAUAACCUUUAAUGCUAGCUUCUUGAGCUUAUUCAUUGCCCUGAAUUGCUUCAUUCUAGAGAGAACUGCACUAUCUAUUGGCUUGUCUGAUGCUGCACCUCCAUCUUUAAUCCAUGGAUGGUCAAGAACUUGUGCUGAAGUAAUUCGCCUUUUUGGGUCCUGAGUCAGCAUUCUCCUGACCAGAUCUUUGGCACUGUCAGAUAUUGAUGGCCAUGGUGAACUUUCAAAAUCAAUGUAUCCUUCUAGAAUAGCAUCAAAUAUUCCUUUUUCAGUUUCAGCCCAAAAUGGAGGUACACCACUGAGUAGAAUAUACAAAAUAACUCCUGCACUCCAAAUAUCUAUUUCCUUUCCAUAACUACGCCUCAAUACUUCAGGAGCAACAUAAUAAGCACUACCAACUAUAUUACGGUAUGUUUUCCCUUCCUCAAUGAACACAGACAGUCCAAAAUCAGUGGUCUUCAACAUUGCUCCCUCAUCCUUGCUAGCCAGCAAGAAAUUCUAUGGCUUGAAAUACAUUUUUGAAAAAUCCACCUUCAUCAACAGGCAUUGAGCUUCUCUUUUCCGCAGACUAAUCCAUCAUAACCUCAUCCAAAUCAUUCCUUUUUACUAAACCUUCAUUAUUCAUGGAAUUUAGCAAUGAACCACUGGUCAUUUCUUGAGAUUUAUCAUUCCAUUGUAAUCUCCCCUGCAAGUCCUAAUUCAUUACCGCCAUUUCAGGUUCAUUACUCUUCUGUGUCUCCUCUACACACACUGAAGACACUUCAUUAUCUUUCUCUUGAACAAGCUCCACAUUUCCAUUUAUUUUCCUUCCCAAAAGAGGAACUAAUUCGAUCAAGCCAACCUUUGCCUCUUCGCAUCUCCACUUCCCAAUUCCCCCAAAUCCAUCACUUUUCAACAUUCCUGGCCUCCUUUGAUUCUGUAUUUUCAGCAGACUCCUCUUCUAACUGCAUACUAUCAACUGAAUCCAGUGUCAUAACAUCAAAAAGAAAAGAUUCACAAGUUUCAGCAGCUAUAAAUUGAGAUUCAGACUUAAGUUUGACUGGAUCCGAAAUCACAGCAUUCACUUUUUCUGCAAUCUCUAGAUGCUCAUCUUCUUUUUCACAAGUUUCAACAGCUACAAAUUGUGAUUCAUUUGAUUUUCUAGCUCACUUGCACCCUGAAUUUGCACAAACUCCUGUUGAUCUUCUUCUUCAUUAAUGAUGGUCACAAAUAAUGGGGCCUUAGAAUGAUUGUGGCUCACUGAAUAAGUUUCUUCAGACUACAAACAGAAACCCUUGCAUCUUCUAUCAUUCAAUUCCAACAAUGUUCUUGUGAUUUCAAAAGGAAAAUGGUCCAUGGUUCUUGUUGCAGACGAGAAAUGGAACAACAGGGAAAGAUGAAAGAAAAUGGAAUUAAGGAAAGGUUCAACAAAAGAAAGUUGAAAAAAAGAAUUGGCUCAAGAAAUUCCAGAGAGAACAAGAAAGAGUAGAACAAGAAAUUCAAUAAAUUUAGAGAUGGAAAAGAGAGAGAAAUUUCAGGGAAAGAAACCUAAUUCCAUUCUUGAGAGCAACUUUCAAUCCAUGGCCAAGAAUAAACCAGCUCUGAUACCAUUGUUGCGAAUCUCAUAGAAAUGAAGAAAGGAAGACAGAGAGAGACUCAGAGAAGAAAGAAAGAGAAUCUCAGAGGGAAAAAGAAGAGUCUUAAGUCUGUAAUUCUAUUCAUAACCCUCAUUCUACAAACUCUGCUCCUUAUAUCAAGAAGCUUUACAAGUUUAACAACUAAUCUUUACAAACUAACUUGUAACUGCUCUUAUCAAUACAUGCCACAUAUACAUCUUAUUCACCAAGUGAUCUUAACACCCACCCACCAUUGCACGUUGCCACGUAAACAUUUGCAUCAGCUUUGUAUCAAUACCCCCCAUCAAAGUUGCUUAUCCUCAAGAAAGAAAUCUGGAAAUUGCAGGUGAAGGUCAUUAGCAAAUAACUGAGCAGCAGCAGCAUCAUGCUGACAUUCCACCUUACAACAACCCAAAAUUGCUUGAAGAAAAGCACAAACAAGACCAUAGUUGCCUUAGCCUGGCCCCAUAAAUGCUUGACUUGCAAGCUGCAGCUGUUACAUUUAUUCUUCUUUUGUUUCCACCAACUUUACCAAAGCACAAACUUCUCAAUUGACAAAGAAUUGAAUUCAGUGGCAGUCUUACAAACACCUGCUGAGCAUCCUUUCUCCACCCAUUUAACUUCAUUUUAAUUCUCUGUUUUCUCCAUUUUUUGUAUUCAUUUUGUUUUAAGAGUAUAACAGCAUCCUUGGCAAUUUCCCUAGCCCUCCACUCAUCAGCUUCAUAAUGAUCUUGAUCAAAUUGUUCAUUCUCCAUUGCCCGCAUUUCGGCAACACGUUUUCUUUCUCUUCCUCCAAAGUUUGUUUCGCUCAGACUCUAGCAUUUCAUCAGACAAUCUAAUUGCUGCUAAUUUUUCCUUCCAAGGCCCAUCAAUUUUAUUCUUUGCUGCAUUAUCUAACACAAUGCCCUGACAACUGCACGUAAGGUUGCUCUUAAAGAUCAAUCGAGCUUGCAUUAGUUCCUCCAUGUCAUUCCACAAUUCCAGCAACCCUUGUUUCACCAGACUAUGAAAUACUCUGCUAUUUGGAAGAAAAGUCCUGAAGGAAUUGAGGAUUUGAAGAGAAAGAG